GUGGGGGAUAUUGCACAAUGGAGGAAACUCUGAUGCAGCGACGCCGCGUGAGUGAAGAAGUAUUUCGGUAUGUAAAGCUCUAUCAGCAGGGAAGAUAAUGACAGUACCUGACUAAGAAGCCCCGGCUAACUACGUGCCAGCAGCCGCGGUAAUACGUAGGGGGCAAGCGUUAUCCGGAUUUACUGGGUGUAAAGGGAGCGUAGACGGAAUGGCAAGUCUGAAGUGAAAUCCUGCGGCUUAACUGCAGAAUUGCUUUGGAAACUGUCAAUCGGGAGUGUUGGAGAGGUGAGCGGAAUGCCUGGUGUAGCGGUGAAAUGCGUAGAUAUCAGGAAGAACACCGGAGGGGGAGGCGGCUUACUGGACAAUAACUGACGGUGAGGCUCGAAAGCGUGGGAAGCAAACAGGAUUAGAUACCCUGGUAGUCC
This 425-nucleotide ribosomal RNA is filed under the name uncultured bacterium. RNAcentral's name for it is "partial 16S ribosomal RNA". It matches the Rfam family "Bacterial small subunit ribosomal RNA", at positions 354 to 796 of the family's 1533-position model. The record is from RNAcentral.